This 333-nucleotide ribosomal RNA is filed under the name uncultured bacterium. Its description in RNAcentral is "bacterial SSU rRNA". It matches the Rfam family "Bacterial small subunit ribosomal RNA", at positions 8 to 334 of the family's 1533-position model. The record is from RNAcentral.
AGGGUUUGAUUCUGGCUCAGGAUGAACGCUGGCGGCGUGCAUAACACAUUCAAGUCGAACGGAGUACAUUGAGAGCUUGCUUUUGAUGUACUUAGUGGCGGACGGGUGAGUAACGCGUGAGCAACCUGCCUGACAGAGGGGAAUAACGUCUGGAAACGGACGCUAAUACCGCAUAAAGCAUAGGCCUCGCAUGGGACUUAUGCCAAAGAUUUAUCGCUGACAGAUGGGCUCGCGUCCGAUUAGGUAGUUGGUGGGGUAACGGCUCACCGAGCCUGCGAUCGGUAGCCGGACUGAGAGGUUGAACGGCCACAUUGGAACUGAGAGACGGUCCAG